AGCAAAUGAUGUCUUUUCUCACGAUGGUCUUCCAAGUCCGUGUGGCUUUGACGACAUUGCCUCAAGGCUUUGCUGAUGCUUCCAU
This is a small nucleolar RNA of Trichomycterus rosablanca, 85 nucleotides long. RefSeq annotates it as small nucleolar RNA SNORD35. Lineage: Eukaryota; Metazoa; Chordata; Actinopteri; Siluriformes; Trichomycteridae. The transcript has a single exon. The record is from RefSeq and is a predicted model, not a curated record.